This is a long non-coding RNA of Myotis brandtii (Brandt's bat), 335 nucleotides long. RefSeq lists it as uncharacterized. Lineage: Eukaryota; Metazoa; Chordata; Mammalia; Chiroptera; Vespertilionidae. The record is from RefSeq and is a predicted model, not a curated record. The transcript is spliced from 2 exons.
CAACCACUGAGCCACACCAGCUGGGCAACACAUCUUUGCUCUUGAUGAGCCUUUCCAAGUCUCAGCCUUCUCUUGAUUUCUUGAAUGCAGUCUCUGAAUGGAUGGCUGAAUAAAAGUCAGCCAGUGGAGAACCAGAAAAGAUGGACAGUGAUUGUGGAUUUUUCUGUAGAGUAAUAUGCAAACCACAAACCUCAGUUAAAAACAUCUCACUCUUGGGGUGGUAAACACACAAUACAAUACAUAGAUGAGGUAUGAUAGAAUUGUACACCGGAAAUCUAUAUAAUUUCAUUAACAAAUGUCACCCCAAUAAAUUCAAUAAAAAAGAAAAACAUCAU